AAAGUCAAACAAAUCUGCCGAAGUAUGGGGCGAUGAUUGUUCUGGUUACCAACCUUCAGCCCUUCUAUAAACCCUCAACUCCUCACAAGUUGAAUCCCUUUAUGAUCUGUUCUGCUUGUUGAAUCAGCUGCUGCACCACCGUCUCACACCACCGUGACCGCGAUUGCCGCCGCAACCACCGCGAUCGCCACCACACCUGGUUCGAAGCUUUUGAUUAGCGUCUCCGACUCACGAACUGCGACCAUUGCUAUUCGUUGCCGGCCAUAACCAUCGCCACCAUCAUUGGUCCGGGAUCCAAAUCGGGGUGGAGUCACGCUACUCCCGUUCCGGUCAGUUUGUUUAGCGAAUCAAAUACCAAAAUCGGCUUAUUCUUUUGAAUACUACUUCUGAAAAACGUGAUUUCAAAGUUUAUUGAUUCUUGUUCGUGAUCGACGCAUCAAGUUGUCGCUUUAACUCGAUUCCGAUUGAUAGUUCGAUAGCUCUAGUCGGUUGUCUUUGAUAAACUCCCAUCAGCUUCUAAGGUAAUUUGGGAAACGCGGGGAAUAAGUGAAGAGUGUCGUGAAGAUAAAGAUUUAUUGUAUUUCGAUAAUGAAAAAAAAUGUAAUUAGGAUCUUUUGUUUUCAACGUUAUGGAUUGGUUUUAGUUUUGAUAUCUGUAUGAGUGACACGUCAGCGUGUUCAGGUUAGGGUGUUACAUUCUGCCAUUAGAUCAAGAAGAUGGAUGGAUGAGA
Molecule: long non-coding RNA, 730 nt
Organism: Helianthus annuus (common sunflower)
Lineage: Eukaryota; Viridiplantae; Streptophyta; Magnoliopsida; Asterales; Asteraceae
Exons: 3
Source: RefSeq, a predicted model, not a curated record